Molecule: long non-coding RNA, 2875 nt
Organism: Capsicum annuum
Lineage: Eukaryota; Viridiplantae; Streptophyta; Magnoliopsida; Solanales; Solanaceae
Exons: 4
Source: RefSeq, a predicted model, not a curated record
CGUGUUGACCGUUAAGAAAAAAGUGAAAAACAUAAUAAUUUAUUACAUUUAGCUUAUUUUGGUAACUUUUUAAAUAGGUUAUUUUUUUUAAUUUUGUGACUUAUUUUGGUUACGAGUUUGCUCUUUUGUAUGCUAUGAAUAUAGAUAUGUUUCUCACAAGAAUAAUCUGGGCGUGGUCCUGGUCCUGGUGGGGGGCGGGGAGGGGGGCCUGUACCUGGGCGUGAUCCCGGGUCCAGGCGGGAGGCGGCGAGUAAAGAUGCUAGUUUCUGCAUGUUCAAUUGUUUAGUUUGUAGAUUUCACACUUAUUUUACCGUAUACAGUUGAACAAAAAGGCAAAGGAAAAAUGAUAUUGCUAAAUGAUCAUUAUCAGACUGCUAAAUGAUGGAUCUAUUUAGAUAUUGCAUUGGAGCAUUGAGGGUUGCUUUCUUCUUAUUGCUUUAUAAGUUUAUCCUACUCUCUAUUGCGAUUUUAAAUGCCACCAAAUACACCUUAUUUAUCUUGUUGCUUGGGCUAUAACUUUUUCAAAGUUGUCAAGAUAAUGAUCCAACACCCAGAGCAAAUCUCGAAGUGCCCAAAAAGGAGAGGAAAACACUGCCAUGCUAUAAACAAAAUGCUAGCUUCUCGUGAAAACAUAAAGCAUAUGAACUCUGCUUGACGUAUCUUUCUUCUUUUGAUGAUUUCGUGUGAUGACUUUUAGAUUACAAGCUGUAUUGCUGCUCUCAAAUCGAGAAUAGGUUAUUCCAUAAUUCCACAUCUCAUAUUAGGUGGACUUUUGCAUCAUAUUCCUGAGCUCUUUUGUAUGCUAUGAAUAUAGAUAUGUUUUCUCAUAAGAAUAAUCUACCUUUAACUGUCGUCUAUAUUUGGGAUUUUCAAAGCAAAUGCAAAGUAGGCAUAUAUUCUUAGCCAUCUGGAUAUGGUUUUCCAGCAUGAUUUGUCUAUAAGGUGUGGUGAAAGAUCAUGAAAUGUGGCUGAAGCGAACACAAAUAUGAAAUGGCUGAAGCAAACGAAGUAACUGAAAUAAAGUAGGUGAAGCAAAGUGCUAAAAGUUUCUAAUGUAGCUGCAAAAAGAUGCAUAAGACGGUUCUAAAAGGAGGAAGAGGAAUACUUAGUUCUUACUGGUGGCCGCCGUCUCUCAGCACCACUACUCGCGAAGGGAAGGGAGAAGAUGGAGAGAGUUGUUUCUGAUGAAGACAGUAGUGAGGAUGAUAAAUAAAACCAGACAGUAAGUAAUCUGAAGAUUGGAUUGAAGGAAUCUGGCUUGACCGUCUGUUAUAUGUCCUGAAGUUCGAGGAAGUACAAAAAAAUAUAGAAAUAGCAUCAAUUAUAAUAAUUUUUGUCAGGAAUACUUUGAAUUUGAUUGCUUAAAUUUCAUCACAAUAUCUUGGAGUAAAGUACACCUGCAAUGUUAGGUCCACGAAAAUAUCGGACUAUAUUGAGUCAGUUGUAAAAUCUAAUGAAUAAUACUUACAUGAUAUGCCUAUUGACUACUUCCCAACUUUCUUAUCUAAUUGUCCUACUAGCAUUUGAACCCCGGGGAAUGCACUAAUUAAAUUAGUAAUGCAGAUCAUUUUAAGAUCUUAUACCAUUCCUAGAAUCUAAUAUUUUAAGUUACAAUUAUAAUAUGAUUUAUUUAGUUGUACUUGAAAAAAAGAUAUACUUGACCAAUGAUUUGUUGCUUGAUUUCUGUUGAUUUUUUCUCUAAUAUCACUAACAAUAUUCUUCUCUCUGAGCAGAUGAGGCAACCUGGCAGGGUUAUUGUACAUCGCGUUCGCUCCAAAACAAAAAUUAAAAUAUUCCCAGCUUUUCCAUGCUUCCAUACACAUUAAAAAAUUUAAUAGAAAACGAUUAAAAAUGCGCUUAAACUAUGUGAAAUUGAGCAUGAAUGUCAUUAGUUAAUAAUUUGGUCAAAAGAUGCGUCUAGGUCCAAAAAUGACCCUCUUGUUACGGUGUAUUAUUUGGUACUAAGUUCUUUUCUGUUGUUUCUUUGUUACGCCAUUGUAGAGCUGACCUGCUAGCUAACUUUUUUCAUAUUACACAUCAGAAGUAUUACAAAAAGACUCAAUCAAUUCAAGAAACGUAGACAACAAACUAAACAACCUAAGGGAGAAUUAAAUUAUAUAUUAGAUGAGGAACUCAUCAUUUUCCUCUGUAAUUAUGCCGUUGGAUGACGAUGAGAUGAUGGAGAUUGAAGAAGCAAACGAACCACAAGGCCGCUAUGGUAUAGUAUAUGCUCAUCUGUCUUGGAAGGAUGUUAAUGUAAUGGUCACUCUGAAUAAUGGAGAUACAAGAAAUGUUUUAGGAGGACUUACUGGUUAUGCAGAGCCUGGAACUUUCACUGCCUUAAUGGGCCCUUCUGGCUCUGGUAAAUCUACGCUUCUUGACGCCCUGGACGUCUUGCUUUACGCUUCUUGACGCCCUGGACGUCUUGCUUCUAAUGCUAUUCUCUCUGGAAAUGUUCUCCUCAACGGUCCCAAACAGAGAAAACGCAGAGUCCAACUGCAUAUGUAACACAAGAUGAUACGUUGAUUGGAACGCUAACGGUUCGGGAGAUGGUUUACUAUUCAUCUCAAUUGCGUCUCCCUGAUAGGAUGCCAUUUUAGGAGAAAUGAACUCUGGUUGAGAGCACGAUUAUUGAAAUGGGCCUACAAGAUUGUGCUGAUACGUUUAUUGGGAAUUGGCACUUGCGCGGUAUUAGUGGAGGAGAAAAGAGGAGAGUUAGUAUUGCUCUUGAGAUUCUUAUGAAGCCUAGAUUGCUCUUCCUUGAUGAACCAACAAGUGGACUAGACAGUUCCUCAGCGUUCUUCGUAACAGACACUGUGUGGUCUGUCCAGAGAUGGACGGACUGUGAUAGCGUCAAUUCACCAGCCAAGCAGUG